Rattus rattus (black rat) is the source of this 442-nucleotide long non-coding RNA. RefSeq lists it as uncharacterized. The record is from RefSeq and is a predicted model, not a curated record. NCBI's taxonomy places the organism in Eukaryota, Metazoa, Chordata, Mammalia, Rodentia, Muridae. The transcript is spliced from 3 exons.
UCAGCUCCGCUCGAUCUUCAAGUUACUGACUCUCUGAAGCUUCAUCAGAAAAAUUGUGUCAGUCCCUCCUCUGCCCUGCCCCUGCAGCCGUAUGAGGAAAUCCUGGUGACAUCACCUUGCUCACUUGUUAGGACAAGAACCAGAAAUAAGUACAGAUCCAUGGAAGACCUUUCCUCAGUUUGCUAUUUCCCGACUGUCAGUCCCCUUAUAUGGAAGAUAAUUACAUUGUCCUGCAUUUUCCCACACUGCUCUACGGUCCUGAGGUUUUCCUGAGGCUGAGUUCCCUGUUUGCAGCCUGUAACUCAGAUCUACUUAAUGCUACAACAAAGAGAGGUGAAAGCUGCGUCGUGCUAAACAAUCAGAAGAAAGAAAGCCAGGAUAUCGUAUUUAGGAGAAAAAUCAAAGAAAAAUUGUAUAAGAGCCUCAGGGGACAGUAGAAGUA